RNAcentral lists this ribosomal RNA (497 nucleotides) under uncultured bacterium. RNAcentral describes it as "partial 16S ribosomal RNA". It matches the Rfam family "Bacterial small subunit ribosomal RNA", at positions 28 to 507 of the family's 1533-position model. The record is from RNAcentral.
GAUGAACGCUGGCGGCGUGCCUAAUACAUGCAAGUCGAGCGAACAGACGAGGAGCUUGCUCCUCUGACGUUAGCGGCGGACGGGUGAGUAACACGUGGAUAACCUACCUAUAAGACUGGGAUAACUUCGGGAAACCGGAGCUAAUACCGGAUAAUAUAUUGAACCGGAUGGUUCAAUAGUGAAAGCCGGUUUUGCUGUCACUUAUAGAUGGAUCCGCGCCGCAUUAGCUAGUUGGUAAGGUAACGGCUUACCAAGGCAACGAUGCGUAGCUGACCUGAGAGGGUGAUCGGCCACACUGGAACUGAGACACGGUCCAGACUCCUACGGGAGGCAGCAGUAGGGAAUCUUCCGCAAUGGGCGAAAGCCUGACGGAGCAACGCCGCGUGAGUGAUGAAGGUCUUCGGAUCGUAAAACUCUGUUAUUAGGGAAGAACAAAUGUGUAAGUAACUAUGCACGUCUUGACGGUACCUAAACAGAAAGCCACGGCUAACUACGUG